Molecule: ribosomal RNA, 206 nt
Filed under: uncultured bacterium
Lineage: Bacteria
Description: partial 16S ribosomal RNA
Rfam family: Bacterial small subunit ribosomal RNA
Source: RNAcentral
UGCGUAGGUGGCGAGGUAAGUCGGAUGUGAAAGCUCGGAGCUCAACUCCGAAAUGGCAUUGGAAACUACCUUGCUCGAGGGAUGGAGGGGGGACUGGAAUUCUCGGUGUAGCAGUGAAAUGCGUAGAUAUCGAGAGGAACACCAGUGGCGAAGGCGAGUCCCUGGACAUCUCCUGACACUGAGGCACGAAAGCUAGGGAGCAAACA